This 792-nucleotide ribosomal RNA is filed under the name uncultured bacterium. Its description in RNAcentral is "bacterial SSU rRNA". It matches the Rfam family "Bacterial small subunit ribosomal RNA", at positions 90 to 883 of the family's 1533-position model. The record is from RNAcentral.
GUCGACCGGCGCACGGGUGAGUAACGCGUAUCCAACCUGCCCACCACUUGGGGAUAACCUUGCGAAAGUAAGACUAAUACCCAAUGAUAUCUCUAGAAGACAUCUGAAAGAGAUUAAAGAUUUAUCGGUGAUGGAUGGGGAUGCGUCUGAUUAGCUUGUUGGCGGGGUAACGGCCCACCAAGGCGACGAUCAGUAGGGGUUCUGAGAGGAAGGUCCCCCACAUUGGAACUGAGACACGGUCCAAACUCCUACGGGAGGCAGCAGUGAGGAAUAUUGGUCAAUGGGCGAGAGCCUGAACCAGCCAAGUAGCGUGCAGGAUGACGGCCCUAUGGGUUGUAAACUGCUUUUAUAAGGGAAUAAAGUGAGUCUCGUGAGGCUUUUUGCAUGUACCUUAUGAAUAAGGACCGGCUAAUUCCGUGCCAGCAGCCGCGGUAAUACGGAAGGUCCGGGCGUUAUCCGGAUUUAUUGGGUUUAAAGGGAGCGUAGGCCGGAGAUUAAGCGUGUUGUGAAAUGUAGGCGCUCAACGUCUGCACUGCAGCGCGAACUGGUUUCCUUGAGUACGCACAAAGUGGGCGGAAUUCGUGGUGUAGCGGUGAAAUGCUUAGAUAUCACGAAGAACUCCGAUUGCGAAGGCAGCUCACUGGAGCGCAACUGACGCUGAAGCUCGAAAGUGCGGGUAUCGAACAGGAUUAGAUACCCUGGUAGUCCGCACGGUAAACGAUGGAUGCCCGCUGUUGGUCUGAAUAGGUCAGCGGCCAAGCGAAAGCAUUAAGCAUCCCACCUGGGGAGUAC